GAUGAACGCUGGCGGCGUGCUUAACACAUGCAAGUCGAACGGAGUUUAUAAUUGGAAGUCUUCGGAUGGAAGAAUAUAAACUUAGUGGCGGACGGGUGAGUAACGCGUGGGUAACCUGCCUUAUACAGGGGGAUAACAGCUGGAAACGGCUGCUAAUACCGCAUAAGCGCACAGUGUUGCAUGGCAUCGUGUGAAAAGAUUUAUCGGUAUAAGAUGGACCCGCGUCUGAUUAGCUAGUUGGUGGGGUAACGGCCUACCAAGGCGGCGAUAAGUAGCCGGUCUGAGAGGAUGAACGGCCACCCUGGGACUGAGACACGGCCCAGACUCCUACGGGAGGCAGCAGUGGGGAAUCUUCCGCAAUGGGCGAAAGCCUGACGGAGCAACGCCGCGUGAGUGAAGAAGGUCUUCGGAUUGUAAAGCUCUGUUUAAAGGGACGAAUGGUCAGAUUGUGAAUAAUGAUUUGACAUGACGGUACCUUUGGAGGAAGCCACGGCUAACUACGUGCCAGCCGCCGCAGUAA
Molecule: ribosomal RNA, 520 nt
Filed under: uncultured bacterium
Lineage: Bacteria
Description: partial 16S ribosomal RNA
Rfam family: Bacterial small subunit ribosomal RNA
Source: RNAcentral